GCUCAGAUUGAACGCUGGCGGCAUGCCUUACACAUGCAAGUCGAACGGUAACAGGUCUUCGGACGCUGACGAGUGGCGAACGGGUGAGUAAUACAUCGGAACGUGCCCAGUCGUGGGGGAUAACUACUCGAAAGAGUAGCUAAUACCGCAUACGAUCUGAGGAUGAAAGCGGGGGACCUUCGGGCCUCGCGCGAUUGGAGCGGCCGAUGGCAGAUUAGGUAGUUGGUGGGAUAAAAGCUUACCAAGCCGACGAUCUGUAGCUGGUCUGAGAGGACGACCAGCCACACUGGGACUGAGACACGGCCCAGACUCCUACGGGAGGCAGCAGUA
RNAcentral lists this ribosomal RNA (330 nucleotides) under uncultured bacterium. Its description in RNAcentral is "bacterial SSU rRNA". It matches the Rfam family "Bacterial small subunit ribosomal RNA", at positions 22 to 356 of the family's 1533-position model. The record is from RNAcentral.